Formica exsecta is the source of this 1087-nucleotide long non-coding RNA. RefSeq lists it as uncharacterized. NCBI's taxonomy places the organism in Eukaryota, Metazoa, Arthropoda, Insecta, Hymenoptera, Formicidae. The record is from RefSeq and is a predicted model, not a curated record. The transcript has 2 exons.
CCAUCCACCUUGUGGCACUGUGUAAUAGGGUGGGUUCUUUAGCAACUCUCUCACACUAAGAGCAUGACGUUAUCGUUCUUAGUGUGAGAGCAUGAAGUUUACGUUCUAUGGUGGCUUGAAUGAGAUUGUGUUCGGCAUUCGCGACGAUUUUCUAAACGAAAGAACAGAAGGUUCUUGAAGAACAAUGUGUGAGUGUGUUAAAUUUUGUUUUAAAGGCAGUGAAAAAGAAGCGGCCGGAGGCAUGAGCCAGCAAUUCAUAGUACCACGACAAUGCACCUGCACAUGCGUUGUUCCUUAUCAACUAGUUUUUGACAAAACACGCGACGAUUAUUGUUUCGCAGCCCCCCCCCCCCAUCAGUCUCCCGAUUUGGUUCCUGCGGACUUUUUCUUGUUUAAAAAAACUAAAAUCGACCUUGAAAGGCCACAGUUUUUAAACAAUAGAAGAGAUUAAGAAAAAUUCGCUAUGGGACCCCUACGCACUUUUCCAAAAACAAAAAAUCGCCACAAACGCUGGACACAAUUUCAUUCAAGCCAUCAUAAAAUAUAAACUAAGAACGAUAGCGUGUGAGAGAGUUAUUAAAGAACCCCACUAUACAGUGCCACAAGGCGGAUGGCCCACGCCAUCGCAUUCGAGCGCUUUUUUAAAAUUCGGUUUCUUUAUGGGCAGCCCUUGUAUGUAUAAAUAAACAUCUCUCUACAGGAUCUAUAUAUAUGUGUGUGUAUGUGUGUAUAAUAUAAAACUUAUAUAUCGCAGAAUUUGUUAAUUAUUAAUUUUAAGUUUGAGAAUAGAUAAUUUAAAAAGAAAUAAUUUGUUUAUACGUAACUCACAUAACUCCCAUAAUAGAUUUUUCAUAUUACCAAAUGUACAAAAUUUAUAAAAUGUUUUUCAUUUCUAUAAAGAAUAUAUACAUUUAUAUAAAGAAAAAAAAGAAAGAGCAUAUAUUACAUAUAUUAUUUAAUAAAUAAUACUAUAGUAACAAAAUAUCAUUUAUUUUGUAUUACAAAUGUACAGUAUAAAUAAUAUGAUUUGUGUAAUACCUCCUGCAUGGAUUUAUUGGAAGAGAAAAUAAAAAAAAAAUAUAGGUAU